UUUUUUCCUUACGCGUUUCAUUUUCCCAUUCCAACCCUAGAGCGUUGCGGCUCUCCUCCACUGCGUGCUCUACCAUCAUUUUCCACCUCCGCAAUGUGUCGCCUCCUCCUGGUCCACCACAACUUGUGUCGUCUUUCACGAUCUUCUCAAACUAGGCUCUUCCUUCUCCUACGCGGACGUCUCGGGUCUUCCUCCUCUGUGUUCGUGACGACUUCUCUUCUGUUUCACGGUGGUCUGGGCUCCUUCGCUUCUUCCUCCUACCAUCAUUGUGUCUAGUGGUUGUUGUCUCCAAUGGGGUUCUUCCCCAAAUCAUUUGUGUCGUACUCCUCCUCCCAUCUUAUCCUCACAAGUGUGCACCAACCAGUGAAUGAUUUUGCUUCUUCCCACAGUUUGUGCUCUGUUCGUUCAUUUUUUCUUUUCAUUUUCUUAAUUUGAACACAAUAUUCCAGUUACUAGGAUUGAGUUUUGGGAUUGAAAGAUUGAACUUAAACAUGUAUCUUGGUGGAGCUGAAUUCCAUAUUUGAACUUUGUAGAAGGUGAGUUUAAUCUAUUUAUUUGGUAUUUUCAUUUUGUUGUUGACUUUUGAAAUUUAUGGUGGGAGUGGUCAAAGCAUUAUCUCUAAUUGUUUAUUUUAGUAGGAUUUAGAAUGAAUAUCUAUGACUAACUGGUUCAGUUAUCCAUUUAGUUGUUUUUACAUUUGUCACUACCUUUUAAUGUGUUCGCCAGUUGUUAGGGUUGACUCCCUUUUGGUGCCAUUGGGCAUGUUUUUAUAUGGGCCUAGUUAUCUAUUUUGGGCUUUAAAUUAAGUAGGUCCAAAAAGACAUGUUUAAGUGCUCGGGUCCGGUACAUAGCCUCCCACCCUCGAACCGAGAAGGACGAGGCGAAGAGGCUUACCUAUGCCAGUUUUGAAAAGACAUUUGGUUUUGAGGGUGGUUGGUUCAAAAAUUUUGAAGUGUCACCUGAUGGGACGGUUUCGUCCCACUAAUUAUAGUACGUACAUGUGUUAUGCCAUCAACGGUUGAGAAACACUGUCGUUUUAACUUUCCCUUUGAAAAGAUUAAAAACUUGUUUCUUCCUCAUUUUACUUGUUACGCUUGCAUAGAAUUAUCAAAGAAAAGAAAACUUUCUCUUGCCUUCAGAGUGCCACCUUGCUCCACUGCAAACCAUCAAAAAUCAGGUAUGUUUCAUCAUACAUAUCUCCUUUUGGGCAAUGGCUUUGAUUUCGUUUGGACAAUACUCUUCAUUAUGAUUCAAUUGGUUUGUUAUAUAUAUAUAUAUAUAUAUAUUUAUUUUUAUUUUUUUUUCUAAACUAUGCUUCGUACUUUAUUGUUGUGUAUGUUUUAGUUGCUUUUAAAGAUGGAUUAUGCCUCUACUUACCCUUAGGCCAAAAGAGAACUUCUAAACGAAACCUCUAUUUAUACCACUCGUUUAAAGAUUAGAGAGUUAAGGGAGUUGGGGGGUUUAAGUAAAAAAGACGAAAACUUAGUGAAGGUAGUAGUAUGUAGAGAGGACGGACCGGUGUGUUGUGAUGAGACAUCAGACCCUGAUGGGCCUUUUGUUUCUUUUAUACCACCUUUUUCACCAAAGUCAUGUUGUGUCAUCCUCUCUCAGCUUUUUAAAAAGAGUUGUUGACCGAGCUUAACACGGCUACUGCCCAGCUGCAUCCGAACAGCUGGGCAUUAAUCCGAGAUUUUGUUAUUUUGUGCACCCAUCUCGGAAUCUUGUCGACUGUGGAAGUAUUCUUUUAUUUUAUUUUUUAGUUUAAACACUCUGGUGUACAACUUUGGGCUUCUUUAAAUGGUGUUCCUAGAAGAGGUCUACUCACUCUCUUCCAAUCGUCUUACAAAAACUUUAAAGGCCGAUUUAUAAAAGUUCGUGCCUCGGUCAGUGACCCAUCUUUGUUAGAUGGUUUUCCCUUGUAUUAGUCGCCCAACCCUUGCUUCUAGUGUGUUCGACGUCUCGAAAACUUGUCCCAAGGGAGCGGCGUAUUUGCGAAUUCCUGGAGAGCCUCAAAUUUUUUUUUUGACACAUAGAUGCUUUUGACAAGAGAAUACCUAUUGGGUUCUCUCAAAGCUUACAUUGGUAUACACCCUUUCUAGCUUAAGCUUUUCAAAGAUGUUUAGAUUUUUAAGCCUUUUUGUUUGUUUUGUGGAGAACAUGCUUUCCUCGAUCAACAAGACCGAGUUGGCCGAACGUGCGAGGCGGAUGAGGGCGACCAAGGUUAAUUUAGUAACGAAUGAGAGUGCCCCAACUGGCGUCGUUCACGUUCAUUCCAAGCAGAAUGAACGUACUACUUCUGCGUUAGUUUUUAAGAGAAGGAGAUCGGAACUACCAAUUCCUUCAGAACACUCAUACUCGAAUGGCCGAGCUACUACCCAAAAUGCUCUGACAAUCCAAGAAUGUGAAGUUGUUGGAAGCUCGAAAGGAAAGAGAUGUGGGAUCCGAGUUUUGACAUCUCAGCCCAUAAUAGAUUAUGCUUCUUACUAGAAGAUGAUGUAGCAAGGCUAAAGAUUUGUGAUGAAGACCGACUCCGCCACGACGUUGAAAGUUUGCUCGGCCAAGCUAUUGCGCUAGUGUCUUUGUCUAACAUCGGGGUGGAAGAGCAUAAGAGAACUAAAGGCAAGAAAACUCAACAGAUUGCCCAACUUCAAAAGGAGAAUGAGCACCUUCAAGCUGAGACCGUAGAGGUCAAUCGCUUACGCUUGGAGUUGGUUACCAAGACUCAGGAAGGGCAUGUUCUGACCAGAGAGAAAACCGAUUUAGCUAAUAAGGUUAAUAUGUUGGAGAAGAAAAUGGGAGACCGGGAAUAGGAGAUGGCUCGUAAAGAAGCCGAACUCUAGAAGAUGAUUGACACACUAAAAGAUUAUGUGACCCAGUCAUAUGUCGUCGGCCGUCGGCUUUGAGGCCGCCAUGGAAUAAACAACCAUUGUUCACCCCUUGGUGGCUUUUUCUGAGUUGAGCCCAUGCAAAGUGGUGGUUGAUGGGAAACUUAUUGGGGAGUCUUAAUUAUUCUUACCAAUUCCCAAAUCUAUGAACAAUGUUUGACCCUUAUAUGUAUAUUUGACAUUUCAAUUCGGUCAAUGUUUAUUGUUCAACAUUUUUGUAUAUUUUUAAACUUAUAACCUCCUUAGUUAUGCCUUUUCAUGUGUCAAUGAUUUUUCCUGGUGUACUACUAGAGCGCCCAGACAAAAUAAGACAAUAGGGAUGUCUUUUAGCAUUGAGUUUCCAUUCUAUGGUCAACCGAGUUGUUUGGUGUCUUCGAGUUGAUUCGUCUUUCGUUGUUUUUCAAUUUGAUAUGCAGAUAGUGAUGUUGCAUAGUUGGUCCGACCUUAGGGUUCGUUCAAACCAAUAUGUGUAAACAAUUUCGUCAAGUAAGUCUGACCCUCAGGGUUCGGCUAGAACGAUGUGUUGAGAAUAACGUUAUCAAGGUAUUCGAACUCAGGGUUCAACUAAAAUAAUAGUAGAAGACGACAUCACCAAGUUAGUCUGAUUUUAGGGUUCAGCUAAACGAUGUGUAGAGAAUAAUGUUACCCGAUUAGUCUGACCUUAGGGUUCGACUAAAACGAUAUGUAGAAGACAAGAUCACUGAGUUAGUCCGACCUUAAGGUUCGGCUAAACGAGGUAAGAGGCUAACUGUGGAUCUUUUGCUUGCUAUUCACCGGAUACAUGCCCUGUUAUGAGCAUUGAAUCGUUCUUUGCUAGAAAAUAGUGAGCUCCCAAUUCCUUUGCCAACAACAUUCCCGCUAUUAGGGCCUCGUAAUCAGCCUUGUUAUUGUUUGCUUUAAAUGCGAAUUUGAGGGAAUUCUCGAUUAGGAUGCCAUUCGAUCGUUCUAGGAUGAUGCCGACUCUGCUCCCUUGCAAAUUGGAGGACCCAUCGACAGAGAGGAUCCAUAGGAAGUCGUUGGAAUCACCUUUAGGGCCUCGUAUUCAGCCUUGUUAUUGGUUUUCUGGAAUCAAACAUAAAACAGUUUUUUAUUGGUUGAACAAAAUUUUCAAUUGAUUGAUUCUUCAUAACUUUUCACUCUACCUUCAAUACUUGUGAAAAUAUUUCAUAAACAAUUCAUCUCCCCUCUUGUUUAGCUCUCUAAUUCUAACACUUUAGUGUUGCUUAGCUCAAAACUGCAUUAGCGUACAUUCUAAGGUAUUUUGUACACAAGUGGCCCCUCUCUAAGCCAUAUAUCCUCCCAGAACUUUAUCCUAUUUUUAGAUUCUACUCUCCAAGCCACACUUUCCUCAAACUAGCUCUUUUCUUCUCCAGCUCUAGAUAGAUCAUGUAGGUAUCUCCAUCAUCAUGACUUCCCCUUUGUACUCUUUGUAUAAUUCAAUUUCCUCCAUGACCCAUACUUUGACUCUACGAUAUUUUUAAAUAAUCCCUUGCUUUCUAUUCCUAAUCUCCAUUUCCAUUUUUCUACUAAGGCUACAUUAAACAACAUCCUCUAGGUGUUGGUUUUUUUGUGUUUUGAUAGAGACACGUGUCUCUCUUGAUUUCUUGCAUACGGGUUGGAGCAUCCCUUAAAUGCUCCAAUUAAUAUAUUUAUUCUUUUCUGAUAAAAAAAACUUGAUGUCUUUAAUCUCCAAUCCUUCCUUAUCCAUAGAUUUACAUAUGUAUGCCCAUUUAACCCAGUUAUCUUUUGUCCUAACAUCCCCAACCCUAUUAAAUUUUCCUUUGUAUUUUCUUGAUCACUUCACAAAUACAAGAUGGUGUCGUAAAGAGAACAUGUAUUAUAUGGGUAGGGUUAUAAAGAUAGAUUUCACGAGACACACUUGAUGUACAAAGGACAAGACCCUACCUUUCCAUCUUGUUAAUUUGUUCUUGCUUUUAUUCUAGAUGGAUUGCCAGUAUUGUUGUUUCCUUGGAUUCCCCAACACUCAUACCUAAAUAGUUAAACAAUUAGUGGCAUUAACAACAAUUCAAAAAAAUUUAGAACCUCUUCAGUUCAUCCUCCCCAAUGUUAAACCUUCAAUCAUUUUUUUACAAAAGUUAACUAUAAUAUUGAAUGAAAGCUCAAAGCAUCUAAGCAUCUAAGUAUGCUUUUAGCUACAAAUAUAUUUUGAAUUUUUAGUUUGCAUAAAAACAAUGUAUCAUUUGAAAACUAAAACAUAUUAACCUUUAUAUCUAUGUUCCCCACCAUAACUCAUUCUAACAUAUAUUUUUUAAUUUCUUGUCUCACAACUCUAGCUAGAUCUUUUGCCACUAUCAGAAAUAAGAAAAGGGCCAACAAGCCACUUUGUUGGUUUAAAAUCCUAGGUUUGAUUAACAUUAACCAAAAUAGAUAGUGGAUGACUCCAUAUAUCAUCUAUUUCCUUUAGUGCAAAAACCUAGCCUCCAACAUAUAAUAGAAAAACUCACAUUUAACCAAAUCAUAGGUUUUUUCAUCGUCCACUUUAACUAAUAAACAUUUCUUUCUUUUGCAUCUCACCUCCUAUACAAGCUUAUUGAGAACUAAAACACUAUCUAAUAGUCCUCUACCUUUAAUGAAUGUAGAUUUUGUAAUAUAAAUUAUGUUAGAUUUCAAUGUAGUUGUAUAAUACUUUGACUAUUAUCUUAUAUAUAUAGUCCACUAUCUAUAUUUAUUCCUUUAAUCUUAUUCCUGAUUUUUCUUCGAUUAAUGGUUGAAUGGAAAUAUCUAGUAUUAGAAUCACCUUUUUCUAAUCAUUUGACCCUUGAUUUUUGCUUCAUUAACACUUCUUGCCUAUAAUUCACCACUCUAAGUUCAUUCCAUAAAUUAACUACAUUCCUUUAUUUAUUUCUUCUUUGUUGAUUCCUCAAUAAUUUACCUACAAUAUAUUUACUUAAACAUAUAUGAACAACUAAUUUAAUUAUUUUUUUUAUUUCAUUAAUUAACAUAUUUGAAUAGUUAUAAAUUAGUCAUUUUUUUGUCAAUAAAGAAUAAUGAAUUAAAAUUAGAGCAUUUAAGGGAUGUUCCAACCUUAUUACAAAAAUUGUUGGGUUAUAUGUCAUUAUAGCCCAUAUAUCACCCUAUAGGCAUUAGUCCCACAAAAGUGACACGUUACUGCACUAAUAAGAUAUUGUAUAGCUUUAAACCUCCCAACAACUUUCUAAUCUCUCCCUCUAUUUCUAUUAUAGAUUAAAUACAACUAUAUAAAGACAAUAUAAGUGAGGCGGGUAUUAUUUAUCUUAUAACAUAGUUGAACUAGUUCAGAGUUGUGUUGGCACAACUUUUGUCAAAAUACUGGCCCUCACGAAAAAGAUGUUAGAUUACCAAUAAAGAGUGGUGUUGCUUUUAUAGUUUCCACCGUGAUAAAUUUCAGGAGCAUGGAUGAUAGGGAUGUUUGCAUGUUUCUCUACUUAAGCUUCCUCCCUUGAUUUAACAAUUACAUUUGGUCUUGCUCGUCACCAUCUAGUUUUCUUUAACACAAAUUCCUUCAUUGUACUCUUCUUACUGUAUAUAAAUUUAGCUUUCCUUGUUUUCAUUUAGCUAUAUUUAUUUCAGAAUCCUUUUUCCAUAGUACUUGCAUAGAGAGCACUUCCACCACUACAAGAAAAACGUUGAUUAGCUACCAAGGAUUUGCGUUGGCCAAAAGAUGGACGCAAAUAGCGUCGGCCAAACCCACAAUAAGUGGACACAAAAGAAGUAGCGUGGGUCAAGCCCACUCUAAACUGAUGUUAAUAAAAAAAUUGAUAAAAAUAACACGUGUCGGCUUGUGCGACAUAAGAAAUUAAAUCUUUUAAUAUUUGUGUAUAGUUAGCAUCGACUUUAUCAUUGGCUUGGCUGACACAAAAUUGAUCUGAUAUUAGCGUCGGCUUGGCCAACGCAAAAUUGAUAUUAUAUCCCGCACUUGCCAUUUCCCCCUUGUGCAUUUCAUUUUCCCCAAAUUCCCAACCCUGGCACCGCGGUUCUCCUCUGUGUACUUUGUCAUCCACCACUGCCUUCGCAAGUUGCCUCAUCUUGUUCUGUCGGAACCUGCGUUGUCCUACAUGAUUAUCUCGGAUUGAGCUUCUUCUUCAUCUCAGUUCUUCCUCCUUCGUGUUUGCAAUGGCUUAUCUUCUCCUCCACGGUGGUCUUUGCUUCUCCUCCUCUUCCUCUCACCAUUGUGUCUGAUGGUUUUUGGCUCAAGUGAAGCUGAAUUCUAUAUGUGAACUUGGUUGAAGGUGAGUUUAUUGGAUUUAUUUGGUCUUUUUGUUUUCUUGUUGGAUUUUGAAAUUUAUGUUCGAUUGGUAGCUUAUUUGAACAAACAUGAACUUAUUAAAUAACUCUUUGUUCAAAUUUAAUUUGCAAUUACAAUUUUAUGCUUAAUUUGAAUUAAGUUCUCAUUUAAAAUUGAUAUUUGAAUUGAUAUCUUAAUGAUUUAGGAAUCAAGUUGAGAAUUUUUUAGCUUUCUAUUCAUGCUAGAUUUUUUCCCUAUAUGCUUAUUUAUGUGUUGGCGUAGCCGAUGCAAAAGCUCAUGCCAUUGUGUCCCAUUUUAAAGUCAACACAAACACAUUUUUCUUUCAUGAUUUAGCAUCCGUUAGGUAGUCGACGCAUAGCCAACAUUUAUGCGUCAUUUUUCGUCUCUUAGCAUCUGUUAAUGGCUAACGUUAAUUUACAUUUUGUUGUAGUGUACCUUCGUGCAACAUAUGUCAAAAUUCAAAGGUUCAUACAGAGAAUAAGAUAGUUAUCAACCUUUAGCAAUACACUCCCUAAAUGAAUAACGCUAGUACCAACCAAAUCACUCUCAUCUCAAUUUUGAACCAUUUUAGUUAGAAUACUGUAUUUUAAUACACCAGAGGCUACAUAAAAUAAUAUUACAGUGCUUUUAAACAUUGCAUUAUGCUAAGGCACAAAUCUGAAUAUGAAAAAGGUACUGCCUUCAUGUUUAUGUUUAAUUUAUGAUGAAUCAUUUUGUUGUGCGCAUUAUAUUUCCUUUGCAUCCAUUUUCCUUGCCUAAAUAUGACCGAAUUCCAAUGAUUCCAUAUGCCCCAUAAAAUUGCUAUCCAUAGACUCUUUCAAAUUAUGUUUUGUUUUUCAUUUUGGUUCAUUGGGUAAAAGUGUUGAAAAUCAUUCUUAAGCUUAUUAUGUUUCAUUGAGCUAACCCCAUCCACCUAUGACAUUUGUCCCAUAUUAUUUUGCAGGUUGGGAUCAAGUUGGAGGUUGUCUCAUAUUUUUCCUUACAUGAUGCACAUAAACAUAUUAUCCAGCUGCAUCCCUCUUUGCACUAAAUUAACCCUUGCUGGAAUCUUGUCCAAAAUCACUCUCCACCCAAAGCGAAGCGCACUAGGGAGAACCUUCCAGCUCCAUAAGAACUUAAAUAAACAAUUACUUUUACCAAGGAAAUUGCAUAGCAACAUGUCAUAAGUAGACCUCACUGAAUAUAUAUGUACCGACCCGUCCUCGGGCGUUAGACCAAAGUCAAACACUUGGUAGGACCCAUCAGGGGCGCCAUGAGGUGAGAAAGGGAGUCGACCAGGCCUCGAGCGUUGACCAACCUCGGGUGUUGACCGACCUCAGGCGUUGGCUGGGUUCGGACCAAGAAGUGUUUGUUGUUGAACCAAGUGGUGUUCAAGCUUUGAAGAAUCCAAAUCCUUUGAAGGAUGUUGAAGCCUCUGCUGUGCUUGGUGUUGCUGUGCUGGUUUAGCUUAGUUCUGGGGUAGUUUAUAUGUUAUAAUCCACCCUUUGAUUAAAUCUAAAGCAUUAGCAAUCUCAAUCUUUGUGAAAGUAAAAUGUUUUCAAACUAAGUUAAAACAACCGAUUGUUUUGUCAAAACAACCGAUUGUUUGUACUUAGGUGUUUUGAGAAAAAGAUUGAAAAUUGUUUUUAAAAUGGUUGAACUGUUAAGUACCAAAACAACCGAUUGAUUCGAGGAAACAACCGAUUGUUUGUUUUGGGACCAUAACAGAAAAACUGUUUUCUGUUUGACUGAGCUUUAAAUGUUUUAACUGCAUACGCUCUAGUCAUUAAAUGCUUUGACCAAUCUUUUAAAGCAAUUCAAGAGUUUGUUAAGAUUUGAUAACAAACUACAUCUUUGAAUAUAUUCAAAAAAACAUAUUUGACAAUUGAUCUUUGACAAGUUUUUGCUAAGAGUUUUUGAGUUUUUCAAAGAGCUAAGAUUGCUAAGAGUGUGUGAUUGAUCAAAGUUGUGGAAUAGGAUUAUGCUUGUAUUGAUUUCAGAUUAUCUUCUGUAACAAGUGUAAUCCUUGUAUUCUCUGUAAAGACAAGUUUCGUUUCUGUGUUUGCUAAGAUUGGUUGUGUGUCCUUGAGGGGAUCAAGAUCAACAAUCUUGGUGUAGAUGUGUUGACCAAGGAGAGUGUGUUUCUUGAGGUGUUCAAGGUCAUUCUCGUGGUUGUUGUGUAAGUGAUCAAG
This 9302-nucleotide long non-coding RNA is filed under the name Phaseolus vulgaris (common bean). RNAcentral's name for it is "long non-coding RNA (PVUL_LNC005052)". The record is from RNAcentral. Lineage: Eukaryota; Viridiplantae; Streptophyta; Magnoliopsida; Fabales; Fabaceae.